GAGGGUAUAGCUCAGUGGUAGAGUGCAUGCUUAGCAUGCAAAAGGUUCUGGGUUCAAUCCCCAGUACCUCCA
Molecule: transfer RNA, 72 nt
Filed under: Camelus ferus (Wild Bactrian camel)
Lineage: Eukaryota; Metazoa; Chordata; Mammalia; Artiodactyla; Camelidae
Rfam family: tRNA
About the family: Transfer RNA (tRNA) molecules are approximately 80 nucleotides in length. Their secondary structure includes four short double-helical elements and three loops (D, anti-codon, and T loops).
Source: Rfam by way of RNAcentral